ACCAGAGCAGACGUUCAUACUGUACGACUUUGUCGUGCGCGACAAGAUGAACAGCAAUAACUCGGCAUGGAUGGCUAUUUCCGCAAGGUAGAGCAGUGAGCCCACGCUGCCGGCAUACUGGCUCACGGAACCUUUAGAGAAACGACAGCUUUUGCCGAAACGAUUGCAGGCGCAGCAUUCUUUUAGCACGCGCUGCUAAUACAGGGCAAGGGCUUUGAAUCUUGAGGAUUGUGCUUUCACGUGAUAUUCCUGGCUAGGGCCUGUUAAUUGCGGUUUGUGGUUAAUCAACGUGCGACACCAUCCGCUAGGGAGGAACAUGUUUCGGGCGCGUGCUUCUGGCUUCUUUGUCGGCUUUGGCGUUGCAGGAGUGCUUGCCGCCUACCAGAUAAGGAAGGACAUACUGAAGUCCCAUGAAGUUCUGCACGAGCAGGUGCGAAGUGACAGUUGUUUGCAGUGUAUCCAUUUCACUGGAUGGACGAAACGUGGCUAUUGAGGUAUAACGCUGGGGAAAAUCGUAUGGCUCCAUGUGCACUCUGCCAUUCAAGAAUCUACCCCUUGUCCCGGGCCUAACUUUUUAAGGUACACCCCUUGUUUGUCUACGACAACCCCUCCAUAGCCACAUUAUCGCACCUGCCUUUCGCUGUAAGAUUUGCAAUUUAAGCCGUCCAGGGUAACCAGCACGUUGCUCGACUCCUGCAGGGCGACAAGUAUCGGCAGGGGUUGGAGCAAAGAGUGGCAUCUUUGGAAGCGACCGUGGCAAAACUGAAAUCGGCGACGAGGACGCCCGUAGCCGUUGCUGAGGCUCCCGCAGCAGUAGCAGCGGCAGCAGCAACAGAGCCGGGCCAAUCUCAAUAGGAGCCGCCCUGCAGAAUUCCCUGCAAUAAAUCUGUGAUUCGCUGGAUGUGCGCUUGGAAGCCUUGUGCUUUAUAAAGGAAGACCAUGUUGCCGCGUCGACAACGGGCGACGACCUGCCGCGCAUAGUUGGGUUAUCGCCCUCGAUCGUCACCUUCAACGCUGUGGGAUGACUUCCAAGUCCUAGCGUAUGUGGGUCAGGCUGCUUCGGCUAUGGAAGGCGACCGGAAGGAUGCUCGUGGUGUAAUCUGUUCCGGUACCCGAGGCUUGGCCAGCGCUUUCUUUCCGUGCCAGAAUCUGUCAACCCGGGCCGGACGCCCAGCUCCUGCACAGAGAGCAUCCGUCCGUCCACUUUAUGGGACUCUCCAUGCACACGAGG
Molecule: long non-coding RNA, 1231 nt
Filed under: Volvox carteri
Lineage: Eukaryota; Viridiplantae; Chlorophyta; Chlorophyceae; Chlamydomonadales; Volvocaceae
Description: long non-coding RNA (VCAR_LNC000406)
Source: RNAcentral